Molecule: ribosomal RNA, 466 nt
Filed under: Vreelandella stevensii
Lineage: Bacteria; Pseudomonadati; Pseudomonadota; Gammaproteobacteria; Oceanospirillales; Halomonadaceae
Description: partial 16S ribosomal RNA
Rfam family: Bacterial small subunit ribosomal RNA
Source: RNAcentral
CCUACGGGUGGCAGCAGUGGGGAAUAUUGGACAAUGGGGGCAACCCUGAUCCAGCCAUGCCGCGUGUGUGAAGAAGGCCCUCGGGUUGUAAAGCACUUUCAGUGAGGAAGAACGCCUGGUGGUUAAUACCCAUCAGGAAAGACAUCACUCACAGAAGAAGCACCGGCUAACAUCCGUGCCAGCAGCCGCGGUAAUACGGAGGGUGCGAGCGUUAAUCGGAAUUACUGGGCGUAAAGCGCGCGUAGGUGGCUUGAUAAGCCGGUUGUGAAAGCCCCGGGCUCAACCUGGGAACGGCAUCCGGAACUGUCAAGCUAGAGUGCAGGAGAGGAAGGUAGAAUUCCCGGUGUAGCGGUGAAAUGCGGAGAGAUCGGGAGGAAUACCAGUGGCGAAGGCGGCCUUCUGGACUGACACUGACACUGAGGUGCGAAAGCGUGGGUAGCAAACAGGAUUAGAUACCCCUGUAGUC